AGUCGAACGCGAAAGCCCCCUUCGGGGGACAAGUAGAGUGGCGCACGGGUGAGUAACACGUAGGUAAUCUACCUUUGGAUGGGGAAUAACAACCGGAAACGGUUGCUAAUACCGCAUAAUGCAGCGGCACCUAAUGGUGACAGUUGUUAAAGCGGGGGAUCGCAAGACCUCGCGUCUGAAGAGGAGCCUGCGGCAGAUUAGCUAGUUGGUAGGGUAACGGCUUACCAAGGCGAUGAUCUGUAGCCGGCCUGAGAGGGCGGUCGGCCACACUGACACUGACAUACGGGUCAGACUCCUACGGGAGGCAGCAGUCGGGAAUUUUGGGCAAUGGGCGAAAGCCUGACCCAGCAACGCCGCGUGAAGGAUGAAAUCCCUCGGGAUGUAAACUUCGCAAGAACGGGAAGAAUAAGUCGGUGUGAACACCACCGAUGAUGACGGUACUGUUUGUAAGCUCCGGCUAACUCCGUGCCAGCAGCCGCGGUAAUACGGGGGGAGCAAGCGUUGUUCGGAUUUACUGGGCGUAAAGGGCGCGUAGGCGGCCACCGCAAGUCGACUGUGAAAUCUCCGGGCUUAACCCGGAACGGUCAGCCGAUACUGCGGGGCUAGAGUGCAGAAGGGGCAACUGGAAUUCUCGGUGUAGCGGUGAAAUGCGUAGAUAUCGAGAGGAACACCUGCGGCGAAGGCGGGUUGCUGGGCUGACACUGACGCUGAGGCGCGAAAGCUAGGGGAGCGAACGGGAUUAGAUACCCCGGUAGUCCUAGCCUUAAACGAUGAAUGCUUGGUGUCUGGGGUUUUAUAGUCCCCGGGUGCCGUCGCUAACGCUUUAAGCAUUCCGC
This 836-nucleotide ribosomal RNA is filed under the name uncultured bacterium. Its description in RNAcentral is "bacterial SSU rRNA". It matches the Rfam family "Bacterial small subunit ribosomal RNA", at positions 60 to 872 of the family's 1533-position model. The record is from RNAcentral.